AUUGAACGCUGGCGGCAGGCCUAACACAUGCAAGUCGAGCGGCAGCGGGAAAGUAGCUUGCUACUUUUGCCGGCGAGCGGCGGACGGGUGAGUAAUGCCUGGGGAUCUGCCCAAUCGAGGGGGAUAACUACUGGAAACGGUAGCUAAUACCGCAUACGCCCUACGGGGGAAAGCAGGGGACCUUCGGGCCUUGCGCGAUUGGAUGAACCCAGGUGGGAUUAGCUAGUUGGUGAGGUAAUGGCUCACCAAGGCGACGAUCCCUAGCUGGUCUGAGAGGAUGAUCAGCCACACUGGAACUGAGACACGGUCCAGACUCCUACGGGAGGCAGCAGUGGGGAAUAUUGCACAAUGGGGGAAACCCUGAUGCAGCCAUGCCGCGUGUGUGAAGAAGGCCUUCGGGUUGUAAAGCACUUUCAGCGAGGAGGAAAGGUUGAUGCCUAAUACG
This 445-nucleotide ribosomal RNA is filed under the name Aeromonas finlandensis. RNAcentral's name for it is "bacterial SSU rRNA". It matches the Rfam family "Bacterial small subunit ribosomal RNA", at positions 30 to 466 of the family's 1533-position model. Lineage: Bacteria; Pseudomonadati; Pseudomonadota; Gammaproteobacteria; Aeromonadales; Aeromonadaceae. The record is from RNAcentral.